RNAcentral lists this ribosomal RNA (505 nucleotides) under Xylotrechus pyrrhoderus. Its description in RNAcentral is "partial 16S ribosomal RNA". It matches the Rfam family "Bacterial large subunit ribosomal RNA", at positions 1819 to 2596 of the family's 2925-position model. Lineage: Eukaryota; Metazoa; Arthropoda; Insecta; Coleoptera; Cerambycidae. The record is from RNAcentral.
GGCCUUUUGAUAAUAAUUUAAGGUCUAACCUGCCCUAUGAGGAUUUAAAUGGCCGCGGUAUUUUGACCGUGCAAAGGUAGCAUAAUAAUUAGUUUUUUAAUUGAAAGCUGGUAUGAAUGGUUGAAUGAGAAAAUAACUGUCUCUUUCUAAUUUUUUUAGAAUUUUAUUUUUAAGUUAAAAAGCUUAAAUUUUAUUAAAAGACGAGAAGACCCUAUAGAGUUUUAUAAAAAUUGAUUUUUUAGUUUCUUAGAAUUUAUAUGAUUAAGAUUAAUUUUUAUUUGGUUGGGGCGACUAAGAAAUUGAAUAAACUUUUUUUUAUUAUUACAUUUAUUUAUGAUUAUUUGAUCCAUUUAUAGUGAUUAUAAGAGAAAAUUACCUUAGGGAUAACAGCGUAAUCUUUUUUGAGAGUUCAAAUCGAAAAAAGGGUUUGCGACCUCGAUGUUGGAUUAAAAUUAAAUUUUGGUGCAGAAGCUAGAAAUUUAGGUCUGUUCGACCUUUAAAAUUU